UACCGGUCUUAGUUACAAGAACAUUUUUGAUGCUCAGCUAGACGCUGUUUUUUACGCCAUUGCCAAUCUGAAUUUCAGAACAACUAGGAACACAUUUGAUGCUCAGCCAGAUACUGUUCAUUUUACCUUGGCCGAUACUGAUUUGAUAAUAAGUGACAUUAUUGCUGCGGAAACCGGCUGGCCUACACGUGGUUCUAGGCGACCACAUGCAAGUACUCACAAUGCCAAGACUUAUAACUAUUCUGCUAGUCUUGACAGUGUAGACGACUACGCUAACAUUGACAAUGCCCAGACUUACAACACCAACUUAAUUAGUCAUGUUAUGGGUGGCUCCGGGACGCCUGCUAGGCCUGGUGCAAACCUAGAUGUGUACAUUUUCUCCUUGUUUAAUGAGAACCUGAAGCAAGGACCGGAAACAGAGAGAAACUUUGGUUUAUUUUAUCCCGACAUGACGAGUGUUUAUAACCUGGUCUUCCCUGGAAAAGGAACCGGAAGAAGCUGGUGCGUUGCUUCUAGACAGGCUUCAAAUUCGGCUUUACAGAAUGCGCUAGAUUGGGCUUGUGGUCCGGGAAAGGCGGAUUGCUCCGCCCUUCAGCCUGACCAGCAAUGUUUUGAACCAAAUAAUCUAGUUUCUCAUGCCUCUUUUGCAUUCAACAAUUACUACCAGAAAAACGGGCUCACUGAUCAAGCAUGCCGUUUUGGAGGAACUGGGAUCGUAGUCUAUAACGACCCUAGUAAGUCAAUUACUUUAUGCAGAAUUUGAUCACAAUAUUGCAUGAUAUCUCAACUCUAAAAAUCUAAAAAACUAUUUUCCAUUAUUUGUGCAGGCUAUGGUAAUUGCAUCUAUAAUGGUAAGUACAGAUUCUUAAACAUCUCAUGUACCAUACCUAUUUUUCUUUUGCGCCCCCCCCCCCCCACUUUCUAUUUUUGCAUAUUUGAUAUCAUUAGAGAAACUGGGAUUUUUUUAUUUUCACAGUAAAAAGUAGGGAUCCGAAUGGAAGAACUUGGUGCGUUGCUACUAGUCAGGCUUCUAGGUCGAAUUUACAGAAUGCAUUAGAUUGGGCAUGCGGUCCUGGAAAAGCUGAUUGUUCGGAAAUUCAGCCUAACCAGAGAUGUUUUCAGCCUGAUACUCUACUUGCUCAUGCCUCUUUCGCCUUCAACAAUUACUACCGGAAAAAUGGUGCUACAGAUGCUUCCUGCAGUUUCCGUGGAAAUGCAAUCAAAGUUGAUCGGGAUCCUAGUAAGUCUCUUGUUUGACCCUUCCAUUUAACUCAUCUGAUUUUCCAAACUGCAAACAGUUAUAUAUCUAUCUAAUUUAUUUGUGCAGGCUAUGGUAAUUGCAUCUAUCACUGUAAGUACAAAUUCUGAAACAUCCCAUGUUCCAUACACUGUCUAUUGUUAAUAUUAUCAUUACACGCUGAUUCCGUUUUUUUCGAUUUGUACAGAAGAGGACUUAUCAUAAGAAUAAAGUAGUUGUGAUUAUCGUGGGCGACCGCAUGAGCUAAGCUAAUGUUACCAGCGUAUAAUUAUUGCGAUUAUCACAUGAUUACCAAAACUGCAGCUUGUAAUACGACUACCAUUGCUACUUCUUUGUAAUGGUUUUCAUCAGUGAAUCUAUCAAAAAUAACGUUUACGGUUAAAAAAUAGGGAAUAGGAUCGAUCUCAUAAGGAUUUUAGAUUGCCCUUGUUUGAAUUUUUCAUAACCAGAACAUUUCGUGAACAGUUUAGUGCACACAACUCUUGCUCUCUUGGGUAAAAUAAGUAAAAGGAUUAAAGUAAUAUAAAAUUAAAUAAAUUAAAAUCAAACAUCAAUAAAAUAGUAAAUAAAAACCCAUGGUACUGUUCCCAACACCUCACCAAAGAUUAUUUUUGAAAUGACAUAAAAAAUAAUAAUAUGAGAUGGUCUUAUCUAUUUUUUAAACCGAAAAAAAAUAAUAUUCAAAUGAAAAGAAUUUAACUGUAAUUUCAGAUCUCCCAACUCAAAUCCCAAAAUUUAGUCAACUUUUAACUGAAAAUAGUUUAAUUGCUGAUAUAUAGUAAAAAAAUUAACAAAAAAAAUUAAGAAGAAAUAAAGCUAAAAUAAUAAAAAGAAAGAAACGGCAAGUAAGCGCAAGCUACAAUUGAAAAGCAAAAACCUCUUCCCCCAAAAAACAAAAGCAAGAAAAAAUGCACCCUUUGUUUCUUCAAUUUCCAGUAUUUAUGCUGAAAACUGAUACAUAGUAUUUACUCCUAUACAAAACUUUAAAGAUAAAGUUUAUCUAAAUAAAAUAUAAGGAAUAAAACUUAAUCCUAAUUAAAUUCUUAAUAAAUAUUUUUACAGAUAUUAUUUAAAUAAAAAUAAUAAAAAUAAAUAUUAUAUAAAAUAAUCUCAAAUCUUUCAUGUGACUUCAUAUUUUCACUUGUUCCCGACAUUUUGACUCUCUCUCUCUUGAUGUACUUGUAUUCAUUUAGACUUAUCUCUUUGUGCUCAUUUAAGGGUGGAGAAGAAAAGUGUCGCAGGGCAUGGGCACAAAUAUGUGAAAUCAGCCGGACUGAAUUUCAUAAGGUCUAUCAACGACUUGGAUUUCAUUUAGAGGAAAAAGUAAGUAAUGUCAAAUGUCAACCUCUAUGUAUUGUUAUAUUUUGGUCAGCUUAGUUAAUUUUCAGGUGCACUUCUACAUAAAAACUUCUCUAUGACAUUCAGGGAUCAUUGCAAAACUCCUUUUUUUUAUGAUUUACUUCGAUUUUUUCUUUAUAUCUUGGACCUAUUUAUAUAAUUAUCUUUAAUCUUGUACAAACCGUAAAUAUUGUGUUUAUUGAUUUUAACAUUUAUAUAAUUGACAGAGGUCUUGCUUAUGUGCAAUUGUACACCAUCAUGCUACUUUGACAUAUUCCACCAAGCUAGUCAAGUUUUCUACAACCUCAUUUUAGAAUGUUUUGUCCCUAGUGCAAAUGGUGCUCCUGAUUGACCUAUUUAUGAUUAUUUCCUUGUUGACAGGGAGAGAGCUUUUAUAAUCCUUAUAUUCCUGGGGUUAUAGAAGGGUUGACCAAACAAGGAUUAGUUGAGGAAAGUCAGGGAGCUCGUGUGAUCUUUAUUGAAGGCAUUAAUAUACCUCUUAUUGUUGUGAAGAGUGAUGGUGGUUUCAACUAUGCAUCAACUGACCUGGCUGCUCUUUGGUAAGUUUUCUUCCGUUAUUUGAUGUUACGAGCCUGUAGUUUUUGUUUGGCAUUCCUUGCCAAAUGUCAGAAUUAUGUGCCAGCCAAGUGAAUUACUGAAAUUACCCUGGCUAGAAUUACAAAAGUGGUUCUUGGUUCGAAAUUUCUUGAGCGUUUAAACUUUAGAUGAUAUAUUGUUUAUUGUUUCCUUUUUCAUGUUGAUCUCAUUGGGUACUCUGUUAGGCCAAUUUGUUUUGAUAAUUGUACUUUUUUACUAAUUAUGGAGCAAUCUUACUGCGUUGACAUGGAACAUGUUAGUCUAGCAUAGGAAUUAAUUAGCUUCCUUAUCGAUCUUUUUAGUUUCAAUUUUGUAGGUAUCGCCUCAAUGAAGAGAAAGCUGAGUGGAUUAUAUAUGUUACUGAUGUAGGCCAACAACAGCAUUUUGAUAUGGUGUUCAAAGUAUUUUCUCGAAGUUGUUUCUUGAAUUCUGUUGUGUAAUAUUUUAAAACCCUUUGUUAAUCUUAUUCAACUUACUGGGACUAUAUUGAUGUUUGUGAAUACCAUUAUAAUGAUCAUAAAGAGUUAUUCCGGCUUUUGACAUCUAGUCUUUUGCUGUAUAUUCUGAAACUAUUUUGGUUAUUUUUCAGGCUGCCAAACGUGCAGGGUGGCUUCCUCAAGGUGAUAAUUAUCCCAAAGCUAGCCAUGUUGGUUUUGGACUUGUUCUUGGAGAAGAUGGCAAGCGUUUUCGAACCCGUAACACUGAAGUAGUUCGUUUAGUUGAUCUACUUGAUGAAGCCAAGAACCGAAGUAAAGCAGCACUUAUCGAGCGUGGUAUGAUAUUGAACCUUAUCUCUGUUGUUACAAAUGUUUUUCAGCUCUUUUUAACUACCUUAUGUUUGUCAGUCUAUUAGUGAUGUAUUUGUUACUGCAAGUUCUUUCGGUUGUUAAAUUGUGUAGCCUUUGAACUUUUCAACCUCUUGUAUCUGAAAUUGUUACUUUGUGUGCCAAUCAGGUAAGGGUGAAGAAUGGACCGAGGAGGAGAUUGAGAGUACUGCUGAUGCAGUUGGUUAUGGUGCUGUAAAGUAAGCUACUUAUUAUUAUAUCAAGUUAUUUAUGUAAUCUAAUUAGUAUUGCUAUGUUCUUCUCAGUAGUUCUUGUACUAUUUUGUUUACUUUUUAAUAUUCAUUAAAUCUGAUUGCAGGUAUGCUGACUUGAAGAACAACAGAUUGACCAAUUAUACAUUCAAUUUUGACCAGAUGCUUAACGAUAAGGUGCCUAAUAGUUUUUUAUUUAGACUGCAAAUAUUGUGGAACUGGUUUCAUCAUUUUGGCCUGUAGUGAACUUUUUAUGAUGAAAGUUUCCCAUGUUUCUUCUGCUGCUUCUGAUUGUAGUUUUCUGCUUCUAAAUUUUUUUAAUGGCAGGGCAACACUGCUGUUUAUUUGCUAUAUGCUCAUGCUCGAAUAUGUUCAAUCAUCAGGAGAUCUGGUAAAGAUGUGGAGGAGCUAAAGAAUGUAAGUUCCCCCUCAAUCUGAAGAAGUACCGUUGUAAAUCUUUUAGUUGCCUUUUUAUGUAUUGACAUUAGUAUGCUGUUAUUAGGCUAAGUAGAACAACUCUUUUGUAUCAGAUUCAAUAGCUGCAACUUUUACCCAUUAUCUCUUUGUUUUUAAUAGAAGGGGACAUUAGUAUUGGAGCAUAAGGAUGAGCGCGAUUUGGGCUCCAUUUGCUGCAGUUUGCUGAGGUAAGAACUUAAGGAAAAAAAAGAACAAUCUAUUUAUUGUUUCUUGACUUAGGCUCGGUCUGACAAAUUUUUAUCUUGCUUUGAGGUUGUUGAGGAGGCUUGUACCAAUUUGUUACCGAAUGUUGUGUGUGACUACCUCUAUAGUUUAUCCGAAAUCUUCUCCAAAUUUUACAGCAACCCUGAGUGCAAGGUAUGAUCAACGAUCUAAUUAUAUGGUUUCUUGGUAAAAUAAACCUUGUUAUUGCUCGUCACCUUGCCCUCACAAGGCCGUUCACCUAGUGUUGAAACUAGGAAAGUUCUAAUGGCGGAGUGAUUCUAGGUAAAAGAUGUUGCAAUGAAACUUUGAGAUGACAUGUGGCAUAUAUUGAUGAAAUGAGCAGGUUAUCGGGUCAGAUAAGGAAACAAGUAGACUACUAUUAUGUGAAGCAACUGCAGUGGUUAUGAGAAAAUACUUCAAUCUCCUGGGAAUCACACCUAUUUACAAGAUAUGAUUGUACUUUGAAAGCUUUACAUAUAACCUAUUCUUGAGAAGGGUGGGUUAUAUAUUAGUUCAUAUAAAAUCCUAUGUACCGCGAUAAUUGUAUUCAGAUCUCAUUACUUUAUUUAUUUGGACAGUUUUGAUUGUACUUAUGUGUUUUAGCUAUGAAUUUAUUCAUACCUGCAGCAAUGUCUAAUUAACUAAUUUAUCUACCUAUUUGAAACACUAAUUGCUUUCAGCUGCUGAAGGAUUGUCAUGAAAUAUUAUUACUCUACUUCUUUUACUCCAAACCUUAAUAUUCAUGUUAAUAUCUACUCAUAUUUAUAUUAUGUAAUUGAAAUUGAUAAAUUAUUGAAAUGUCCUAUAUAUAUGGUAGCUAUAUUUUGUGGGAGCAUUUUUGUUUUUUAGAUUUUUAUAAGAAAUAAAUAGAAACUCAAUUAUGAUAAGAGGUGUUAAUUUUAAACAUUUUAAUUAAAUUAUCAUAAUUUUUAUAUUAUUUUUAACAAAUAAUUUUUUUUUCAGUUACAUUGUGAGUGUCAUAAUACAAUAUAUAUUUUAUGUCUUGACAUUUUUAAGAUGGAGGUCUUUAAUAUUUGAAUAUUUAAAAUCGAGUUUAAUGUAAAAUUUAUGUUUGUACGACAUAUAUUUGUAAUUCUACGAAUUAUAUUUAUAAGACAAUAAAACAAGUCGAAUAAAUAUAUUUGAACAAAAAGUCAACAAAACAACAGGAAGUGACUAGUCAGAAAUCUGGUGGCGUUCCACCCAAAAUUGAAAGUGGUAUGGAAUGAUAAAUCCACUUGUUGGUUAAAAAUUGAAGCUAGUUGAUGAAUAAUUAAGUGGAAUGGAAUGAUCAAAACUCACCCAACCUAACAUGGUUGGAUCCUAAUCAAUUCCCCAUUUUGCUAUUAAUUAAUAAUAAUACAUGAUUAUUCAUUUAUUUCCCAGCUGUACACUUAUACUGCUCAUUGAGUUAUCUUGCCCGCUUUAUUUAAUCCAAAUUAUGUCUGUUGUUUGGUUUAAGUUAGAUGAAUUAAUAAUAUUCAUAAAUAAUAAAGCAAACAAUAAAUAAGUACGUACCUUAUUACACAAUAAAAAUUUUUAGAUUACACAAGCAGGUUAAGGGUUUGCUAUAUAUAUAUAUUAUAGGGUGUAGUAAAAAAAUAAAAAAAAUAAUUUAGAUAAAAGAGUGAGUAUUUGGUACACUAGUAGCCUACUUUGUUUAUUCCACAAGUAAUCUUAAAAAAUUGGCAUGUGUCAAUUUUUUUUAAAUGUCUAUUUUUUAAUAUUAUACUAUACUCUUAUAGGACACUUGUUAGCCCCUUAACCCUAUUUGUGGGGCCUAAAAAUUCCAUUUGUAGUGUACUAAAUAUUUUUUCCUUAUGUAAAUUAAUUUGACACUUGUUAUACACUCAACCCAUUUGUGGAGUACUAUAAAAAAACUUCAUUGAUAGUGUAUCAAAUAAUAUAAAUAUAUAAAAAGAAGGGUUAGUAUUUGACACACUCUUUUUAAUUCUACAAACAAUCUUAAAAAAUUGUCAUGUGUUCUUUUUUAAGUGUUUUCUUAAUAUUUUAUUAUAUUUCUUUAUGACACUUGUCAAUCUUCUAACUUUACUUGUGGAGUUUAAAAACUUAAUUGAUGGUGUGCCGAAUUUUUUCCUUAAAACAAAUACACAAAACUAUAUUAUUAAUAUUAUUAAAUAUAUAAAAUUGAACAGUUUGAAAUGAUUUAUUAUACCAAUGAUAUAAAUGAACAUAAAUAAUAUUUUUUUUUACAAAAAUAUAAGUAAAUUGAAUAAACUUUGUUUAUGUAGAAUUCAUUUAAUAAAUAAAACUCAAGGUUUUGUACAUAUACACAUAUUUAAUUUAAUAAACAAAUAAGAGUAAUAAAUUAUUAUUCAAAUGCUUUAUUCAUUUACGAGACUAAAUUCAACCAUAAAUCGAUAAAUCGAUACAAAUAUGAUGGCAAAGGAAAGUAGAGGUAAAAGACACUUAUGACUUACCAUAUGAUUUUAAGAAAACUGGCUUCCUCGUUUCGGUUUUAAAAUAUAUUUUAUAAUUUUUUAAAUAAAAAUUAAUUAUGUUCUUGUUAUAUUGCUAUUUAAUUUAUUCAAUUCUUUAUUUUUAUUUUCAAAAUAAUAAAAAUUUAAUAACAUAUCAAUUAAAUGUAUUUGCAUAACAAAAUGUAAAAGAGAAGACAAAAACAAAAACAAAAUAUAAUUAUCAUUGAUAUUAAUUUUAUAAAAAUAAACUUACAACCAAGGAUGCCUUAAUGGAUAUCAAGAUCUCGGGCUCACUCUUUGUAAACCGUAUAUUUUGAUCUAGAUUUAAAUAAAUUUUGGUUGUCAAAUGAUAAGUUUCGGUUCUAAUUAUUUGAAAGUAUUUUUUGUAAUUAUAAUUGUGAUUACACCGCUAACAUUUAAAAAGAAAACCCUUACAUAUAUUAAUUGAAAAAUACAUUAAGUUUAAUGAGCUAGUAAUAUUGUAGUGUAUUUUUUUUUGACAGACAUAAUUAAAAAAUUACCAUAUGUCUCAUUUUUUGUUAGUGAGAUAACCACAAAUCCCGAACAUGGGCUUGAAGAAUACCAAAAUAAAUUUGGAAAAACCAAAUUUAAUUAUCCUAAGAAGGAAGCAAAUAAAGAAGUUGAGUUGAUGUAGAAUGGAUAUUUUAAUAUCUCCAAAAAGGAUAUUAAUGGAGGAUAUUGUUGAAUGAAAUGAAGUGGGUGGGCCGUGGUGUGAACCAUUUUCAAUUUUGUUUAGUAGUAUAAGCAUGAAAUAGAUGGACGUAGUUUCCUCUCAACUUGGUUCUUUUUCUCUAUAAGAAGCAGCUUGGAAUCAGAUAUUGGCAUUAAUUACUAAAAAAAUCUUUAAUGAAGAAUGGCUUCAACAUUCAAGCUCGUCUUUGCUGUUCCUUUGUUGCUUCAGCUUUUAGGUAUCUUCUUCUUCUUCUCUACAUUAUGUGUUGUAUUGCUUUGCUAUUCAUCUCGGCUUACGCCUUUGUGUAUAUAUAUAUCAGGCUUUAAUCUCUGAUUUUGAGUCUGCUUGUUUUGUGCUUCAUUCUUUUUCUUGUAGUUAAUAGGAAGGUUUAAUGGUAGUAACAGAUGGUAGCAUUGUUGUUAACGAAAUUUUAUUCAAAAACAAUCAGAAGAGUGUAAGGUUGGGUACACUUAGAUGUGUAUUAUUGAUGUCAACAAUUUUCUCUUGUUUUUAGGAGUUAUUAUUAUUAUUAUUUAAGAAAUAACUUAAUAUAUUUAUAUAUAUAUGAAACAAAGAAGUAAGAGAAGAUGGUGAAAAUGUUAGACUAAUGAUAGUUGAGAAAAAAUAGUCAAAAUGUUUAAGUAAACAAUCAACACCAUGAAUCAUAAACAUGGAGGGUCUCAAGCCAGACUUAUCAAUUAAAAUUCUCUUUACUAUUGUGAACUAAAUAAAAUGCAUUAAAAAACAAAUUUGUAAAUUUAUAUUCAAUAUUAAUUCCGGCAGCUCAAUUUUAUGAUUGUAGCAUUGUUGUUUGUAAAAAAUUGAAUUGAAUAUAUAAUAUAUUUUAAAGGGUUGGUACAUAAAUUUCAUGUACCAUCGAUGAAUAAUAACAUAACACAUUAUCAUUAAAUGAAACAAAAAUAAUGGAGGACUUAUAAAAUGUACACUAAUAACUUUAUUUAUAUAAUUAAAUAAUAAUUAAUUAUAAAUAAACCCUAAACUUGAGACCUUCCACCUUAAACUCGAGACCAGAGACCUUACACUAUAAACCAACCUAAAUUUGAGAGUUAUUGAUAUUUAUUUAUAAUAGUUACGAUUAAUUAUGUUUAAAUUAAAUUAUUAAUAUUUAUUUAUAAGUCUUCUCUAUAUUUUUUAUUUAAUUUAAUGAUGAUGUGUCAUACUAUUAUUCAUUGAUGGUGCAGAAAAUUUAUGCACUGACAAUGCAUCAAAUAUUACUCCUAUUUAAAAAGUGUAAAAAUAUAAUUUAAAGAAUUUUAAACUUAACCGAGAUUGAAAUAUAAAAAUAUGAUUAAAUUAGAAAAAGUAACAUACAAAUAACAUAAUUGAAAUAUUCACAAAAAAUGCAUAAUUUUUUUUUGAAAAAAUUUUGCUAUUAGUCAUUGUGUUAUACGAAAAUUAUUGAUUUAAUCCAUCUAUUUUAUUUUGAUUUUAAAAAAAUAUAUUUACUUCUUCAAUUUUGAAAUUUCAAACUUAAUUAUAGCUGUUAAAUGCUAUAUGUUCCAAAAAAAUAUAAAAAAAUGAAAUGAUUAAAUUAAAAUUUACACAUAGAAUUUAACAUUUUUUUUGUUGGCUCUUGUUACUUCCUAUCAAAGGGGAAUAAGCAAAGAAUUUCGUUCGCCAUAUUUGAGUGAGAUUAUUGAUGUAAGAAGCAGUGAUGACGAUGAUAAGCCAAUUGCUUACUAUACUUUUCCAUUUCAUUGCAGAAAAGAAAUGCAGUAUUUUUGUUUUUGCCUUAGGAAAAUACGUGCUAAUCGUGUUGUUUCAUCUUUAUUUCUACUGACAACUUAAAAACCGGUCAAUUUCGCUGUCCAGAUUUCUGUAGGGGAGGUAAAGUUGGAGUUGACUACGGAACGGAUGCUAAUAAUCUCCCAUCACCUGAUCAAGUAUCAGAUUUGGUUAAAAAACACAACAUUCAAUACCUCAGGAUUUAUGAUUCUGAUCCCAAAGUGCUGAAAUCCUUGUCAAACACUGACAUUGAACUUAUAGUAGGAGUUCAUAAUGAUGACUUAUCCAAAUUCCAGUUCCAAUCUUAUGUAGAUUCCUGGGUGAAGAACAGCAUCCUCCCAUACUACCCCGCUACAAAGAUCACCGACAUUUCUGUAGGUGUUGAAGUGACUGAUAGCCCAGAUGCCGCCAACUUAGCUGUGCCCGCCAUGAGAAAUGUCGUUUCAGCGUUGAAAAAGGUUGGCCUGCAGGAUUGGAUCAAGGUUUCAACUCCACUCUCCUUUGGGGUUUUAUCCAAAUCCUACCCACCUUCCGAUGGGGCAUUUGACGGUAGCCAUGAUAAUGUCUUGGGACCUUUGUUGGACUUCCUGGAAGAGAACCAAUCACCGUUUAUGGUCAAUUUAUAUCCUUUUUACGCUAUUGGAGAUUCUUCUUUGGAUGCUGUUCUGUUUAAGUCACCCUCUACGAUUUUCGUAGAUCAGAAUACCGGUCUUAGUUACAAGAACAUUUUUGAUGCUCAACUAGAUGCUGUUCAUUUCGCUUUGGCCAAACGGAAAUCCAGAAGCAUACCGAUUAUUGUUACGGAAACCGGCUGGCCUACGAGAGGUUCAGGAAGACAUAGGUUAGCGAUGGCUAGUCUUGACAAUGAUGACGACUCCUACGCUAGUAUUGACAAUGCCCAGACUUACAACACCAAUUUAAUUCGUCAUGUUACGGAUGGCUCUGGUACGCCUGCUAGGCCUGAUGAAGAGCUAGUUGUGUACAUUUUCUCCUUGUUUAAUGAGAACCUGAAGCAAGGACCGGAAACAGAGAGAAACUUUGGUUUAUUUUAUCCCGACAUGACGAGUGUUUAUAACCUGGUCUUCCCUGGAAAAGGAACCGGAAGAACUUGGUGCGUUGCUUCUAGUCAGGCUCCUAGGUCGAAUUUACAGAAUGCAUUAGAUUGGGCAUGCGGUCCUGGAAAAGCUGAUUGUUCGGAAAUUCAGCCUAACCAGAAAUGUUUUCAGCCAGAUACUCUACUUGCUCAUGCCUCUUUCGCCUUCAACAAUUACUACCAGAAAAAUGGUGCUACUGAUGCUUCCUGCAGUUUCCGUGGAAAUGCAAUCAAAGUUGAUAAGGAUCCUAGUAAGUCUCUUGUUUGACCCUUCAAUUUAACUCAUCUGAUUUUCCAAACUGCAAACAGUUAUAUAUCUAUUUAAUUUAUUUGUGCAGGCUAUGGUAAUUGCUUCUAUCACUGUAAGUACAAAUUCUGAAACAUCCCAUGUUCCAUACACUGUCUUGUCGCCCUUUCUAUUGUUAAUAUUAUCAUUACACGCUGAUUCCCUUUUUUUUGGAUUUGUACAGAAGAGGACGUAUCAUAAGAAUAAAGUAGUUGUUGUGAUUAUCGUGGGCGACCGCAUGAGCUAAGCUAAUGUUACCAACGUAUAAUUAUUGCGAUUAUCACAUGAUUACCAAAACUGCAGCUUGUAAUACGACUACCAUUGCUACUUCUUUGUAAUGGUUUUCAUCAGUGAAUCUAUCAAAAACAACUUUUACAGUAAAAAAAUAGAGAGUAGGAUGAUCUCACAAAUAUUUUAGUUUGCCCUUGUUUGAAUUUUUUCAGAACAUUUCGUGAACAGUUUAGUGCACACAACUCUUGCUCUCUUGGGUAAAAUAAGUAAAAGGAUUAAAGUAAUAUAAAAUUAAAUAAAUUAAAAUCAAACAUCAGUAAAAUAGUAAAUAAAAACCCAUGGUACUGUUCCCAACACCUCACCAAAGAUUAUUUUUGAAAUGACAUAAAAAAUAAUAAUAUGAGAUGAUCUUAUCUAUUUUUUAAACCGAAAAAAAAUAAUAUUCAAAUGAAAAGAAUUUAACUGUAAUUUCAGAUCUCCCAACUCAAAUCCCAAAAUUUAGUCAACUUUUAACUGAAAAUAGUUUAAUUGCUGAUAUAUAGUAAAAAAAUUAACAAAAAAAAUUAAGAAGAAAUAAAGCUAAAAUAAUAAAAAGAAAGAAAACGGCAAGUAAGCGCAAGCUACAAUUGAAAAGCAAAAACCUCUUCCCCCAAAAAACAAAAGCAAGAAAAAAUGCACCCUUUGUUUCUUCAAUUUCCAGUAUUUAUGCUGAAAAUUGAUACAUAGUAUUUACUGCUAUACAAAACUUUAAAGAUAAAGUUUAUCUAAAUAAAAUAUAAGGAAUAAAACUUAAUCCUAAUUAAAUUCUUAAUAAAUAUUUUUACAGAUAUUAUUUAAAUAAAAAUAAUAAAAAUAAAUAUUAUAUAAAAUAAUCUCAAAUCUUUCAUGUGACUUCAUAUUUUCACUUGUUCCCGACUGUAACACCCCAAUCGCCGGGUUUAAGUUACAAUAUGUUACAUUCGUUUCUGGAACAAUUACAAUUAAAGCACGGACAAUUCAUGGUAGUCAAUAAUAAAAAUUCAGUUAAAACAUACAUUUGACAUGAAAUAAAGUCAAUCAUAGGUCUUAUACAAUCUUACGUAAGUUAUAGAGUUGACCCGAGCUAAAAUCAUAGGAUCAACGUCGAGACGACGAUGAACAAUUUGUCACACAUCAUGACGUCAAGCCACUUGAUGUUGCAACGUCACUCACUGUAAUGGCCUCGUCGAGACAACGAGUCUCUCGUAGCACUUUGACCCUAUAAGUCAUUCCUCAUCGUAACGAUGUUUGAAUGAUGUCACGACCACACAAGCUAUUUUGGCCAAAAUGUACCAAUUAAUACCUAUUGCUAACCUUUUCACAACCUUAUAUCAUUUAUACCCAAAACAAUCCCUCUUAACCUGUAUUAAACAUCACAAGACAUGCAAAACAUAGUAGAAAUGCAACAACUGAAGUGGUUCGAAUUAUAGAAAUACAAACCAUAAACUUUGAGCUAUUUGUGAACGACUUUAACUUUUCCUCUCCCUUUCGAGGAUUUCGGUUCGACGUUAGCUACAGAUUAAUAUAAACACAUAAUACCAUCAAUAUACGACCAAAUUCACAAUCAAUUGUCAUUUUAUACAAUCUUUGCAUUUUAUUUAAUUUAGUCCGUAAAAUCGGGACUAACAUAACUUCCAAUUUAAAACUCCAAAUUAAAAUCCGAUUUCACUAUAAUCCAUUUGGGACCUCCUAUUUCUUAUUUCUAUAGUAAAUUUUACAAUUUAUUUAGUUUAGUCCCUAACAUACGAAAUUAUCAAUUAAUUUUACAAUUUAUUCUUUUUUCACUAUUAAGCUUAAGAUUUAUUAAUUUAACACCUAAAACUUUCAAUUCUCAACUAUAGCAACUUUCAAAAUUUUAACAGUUUUACGAAUCGAAAUAUAAAUUAACUAGAUUAAACUUCUAAUAUCUCAAAAAUAAAAAAAUUAUAAGAAAAAGACUGGAUUGUAUUAACCAGUUAAAGCUUCCUAAGAUUGAAACCGUGAAGAAAUAUAGGUAAACUAGAGAAAACUUAUGAAGAAAACUGUUUUCAAUUUAAUUCUUUCUUUUUACUUAGUUCAAUACAACGUCAAAUGAAUAUAUUUAUAGGAAGAAAAUAACUUCCUUGCGUAACAAAUUAGCUAACAACUCAGCAGACCCUAACUACCUCUCUAACAGAUACUAUCUUUAACAUGCAUCCAUCUUCUCUACUGAAACAACCCGAAGAAAAUUUCUAAACCGAGUGAAACACAAAACAGAGAGUGGUUUAGUUAAAACAUCAGCAACUUGAUCGGACGCAGGAACUUCCCCGACCAAAAGAGAACCAUUGGCAACCUUUUCACGAACAAAGAAUAGAUCUAACUCCACAUGUUUAAAUUUGGAGUGUAACACAGGAUUGGUAGCAACAGCUACUGGAGCUAUCACACCAAAUAUUGGGCUGAGUAGUCAACCCAAUAUGUAACUCCUGAAGUAACGAAAGUAUCCACAAAACAUCACUAGUGACAGCAGCCAAACUUCGGUAUUCAGCUUCAGCUGUAGACCGAGAUACCACCUACUGUUUCUUAGAAGACCAUGACACAGGGUUGGACCCAAAAAAUACACAAUAUCUUGAAGUAGACCGCCGAUCAUCAAAAUUCAACCCCCAGUUUGCAUCCGAAAAACCAACUAGAGACAAAGAAAUCUUUAACAAACCGUUAUGGCCGAAACUUCUCUUUUCUUUUGUCAAAUUCAGUUGCACGAGGAAGAAGGAAGAAAUGCCUUGUCUUUCCUUCCACCACACUUUUAUCGUACAUUAUUUUAUUUUUAUUACAAGUUUUAUAAAUUUUAUAACAUAUUUCCUUAUAUAAUUAUAUAGCCACCGUACACUUUAAUUCUUAAGUGGUAUAAUUUUCACUUUAGUCCUUAGUUCAUGUAACUAUGUAAAUAUUUAAGAAACAUAUUUACGAAUUUAGUUUACGAAAAUGAGAUCCCGAAAUCAUAUUUUUCGAUACUACUGACUUUUAGAUCGAUACAUUCACUGCACUUACAUAAAAAUUAGGCAAUAAACACCAAAUUUAGUAGCUUUGUGUCUAAAAUUUUUAUCAAAAUAAAGCACAUAAAUCUGUCAAUUUGGCACAAUAUCGAAUUUUUUAGUCUCUUUUUUGUCCAAAGCUAAGCAACGUGUUAGAUGUAUCAUCUGGAAAGUAGUUGACAAGUUUGAAACAUAUAUAUUGAAAGUUGCUUCUAAUUUUUGUUUGGUGAUCAUUAAUGCUUUAUGAGACACUGAAUAAUUAUGAGAAUGUAUGAUAUAUAUAUUGUCUAUCUUAUAUUACGUUUUACUCAAGCUAGUUAAAAUGCCAAUGGUUCCUUUCUUAUCCGAAUUUGUGUUACUAGGAUCUGAAUAUGCAUGUUGGUAGUAGAAGGAUCUGCACUUGACCAAGCGUAGCUCGCAAGAUGUAGUCUCCAAGAAAGUUUAAACCCAUGAUUACUUGACGUGACCACGUAAUUUUUCAUAUCAAAAUAUUCAUGUCGACUUCGAGACCCUUCAACCUUCUCUCUUGAGGCUCCGGUCUAAGUUCAACUUUUAUGAUCCAGAGUCAAUAUAUUCCUCUCUUUAUACAUACACAAGUUGAUGAAACAAUUUAAUGUAAUACAAUUACGUGGGGGAAGCAAUGCGAAGUAUCAAAUACUUCAUCGACCUUGGUCUUUGGUCUUUGGUCGUUGUAUCUAAAAAUCAAUUUAUUUUAUGUGGCCAUGAAUUUCCCAUCUAGAGGCUAGCUUUUCUCUAUAAGAAAAAGCUUGGAAGAACAUUAUUUGGCAAUAACUAAUAAAUUUUCAUGAACAAUGGCUUCGGGAUUCAAGCUUGCGUUUGCACUCUCUCUGCUGCUUCAACUGUUAGGCAUGUCUUCUUUUCUGCAAUUAAUAUCUGAAUUGGCAAAUAUGCUAUUGUGAUCUAGUGGGUGAUUUUAAAUUCAUUGGCACCAUGUUUAGGAUUCUAACUUUACGUAUAAACUUAAUACAAACUUAAUAUAUAUAUAUAUAUGUGUUAUAAAAUAUUUAUAUUAAUUCAUUAGUUGAUACCUCUUAAAUGAACACAGAGAGAAGAAAGACUCAACCCAUUUAAGGGUCAAUGUAAUGAACCCAACUCUUACUCCUUUUCUACAACGCCACACAAGUAAACGAAACAAUUUAAUAUUGUGAGGUCUUUGGUCAAUGUACCUUUAACAAAGAAGAUAUUUUUGGCAGUAGCUAUUAGAUUUCAUAAACAAUGGCUUCAGGAUUCAAAUUUUUAGGCAUCUUUUCUUCUCUUCAUCGUGUUUGAUUCUGGAAUUAAUACUACACUCACUUAACACUGCUUCAGUUUCUGCUUUAUUUUCUUUCCCAUAACCCAUUUGUUUCAGCUUUUCUCUAUUCAUCUUUGCUUAGGCUAUUUGCAUUUUUCAGGCUUUUAAUCUUUGAUUUUGAGUAAAAAAAGCUCAGCUUUUCACAGCACUCUGCUUGUCUUGUGCUAUCAUUCCAUAAGCGUUGUUGUUUUCCAAGACUUGAAUUGAACAAAAACAAUGUAUUUAAAAGUGUGAUGAGAAAUGUUACAAGAAUUCUAUGAAAAAGUAGUGUGGGAAUUGAGAUAUACAAAAAUAUAUUGAUUAAAAUAAUGCAAUAUUCAUUUUGUCCCCCAAGGAAAAAACCAACUAAAUCACGAAAACUUGUUAAAACCUUUUCUUUUUCCUCUAAAUACUAUGUUUUGGCCGUGGAAAAUACAUGUUAAACGUGUUUUUCCCAUAUGUGUUACACGAGAAAUUUUUACUACUUCAUCUUCCGCUCUAUCUUUUAACUAAUGAAGAGGUUGCUCAAUUUCAUGGGCAGAUUUCUGUAGGGGAAGCUAAGUUGGAGUUGCCUAUGGAAGGAAUGCUAAUAAUCUUCCACAACCUGAUCGAGUAGCACAAUUGGUUGAAAAACAAAAUAUUCAGUACCUCAGGAUUUCUGAUUCCGAUCCCUAAGUGUUGAAGGCCUUUUCAAACGCUAGCAUUGAACUUAUGGUGGGAGUUCGUAAUGCAGACUUAUCAGCAUUCCAGUCCCAAUCUUAAGUAGAUUCCUGGCUAAGGAAUAGCAUCCUCCCAUACUACCCAGCCACAAAUAUCACCCACAUUACUGUUGGUGUUGGAAUGGUUGAUAGCCUGGACGAUGCCGCCAACUUGGUUGUACCCGCCAUGAGAAAUGUCGUUUCCGCAUUGAAAACAGCUAACCUGCAAGAUAGGAUCAAGGUUUCAACUCCACUCUCCUCUGCAGUCUUAUCCCAAUCGUACCCCCCUUCCGAAGGGGCAUUUAGCAGUAGCUAUGAAAAUGUCUUGCGACCUUUGUUGGAUUUCCUGGAAGAGAACAAAUCACCUUUUAUGGUCGAUUUAUAUCCUUUUUACGCUAGGAAUGGAGAUUCUUCUUUGGAUUAUGUUCUGUUUAAGUCAACCUCUUCGAUUUUCGUAGACCCAAAUACCGGUUUAAGUUACAAUAACAUUUUUUAUGCUCAGCUAGAUGUUUUUCAUUUUGCUUUGGCCCAUCGGAAUUUUAGCAGAAUGAAGAUUAUUGUUACAGAAACUGGCUGGCCUACGAGAGGUUCACCCUAUGCUAGUAUUGACAAUGCCCAGGACUUACAACACCAACUUAAUUCGUCAUGUUAUGGAUGGCCCUGGUACGCCUGGUUGGCCUCAUGAAGAGCUAGUUGUGUACAUUUUCUCCUUGUUUAAUGAGAACCUAAAGCAAGGAAACAGAGAGAAACUUUGGCAUAUUUUAUCCGGACAUGGCGAGUGUAUAUAACCUGGGCUUUCCUGACGAAGGAGGAAGAAGCUGGUGCAUUGCUUCUAGCCAGGCUUUGGAUUCGGAUUUACAGUAUUUGCUAAUUUGGGUUUGCAUUCUGGGAAAAGCGACUUGUUCGGCAAUUCAGCCAGGCCAGCAAUGUUUUGAACCAGAUACCCUAUUUUCUCAUACCUCUUUCGCCUUCAACAAUUACUACCAGAAAAAUGGGGCCACCGAUGAUGCAUGCAAUUUUGGAGGAACUGGGAUCAAAGUUUAUACGGACCCUAGUAAUUCAAUUACAUUAUGCAAAAUUUAAUAACAAAAUUGCAUGAUUUCUCAAGGCUAAAAAACUUUCCAUUAUCUGUUACAUUUAUUUGUGCAGGCUAUGGUAAAUGCAUCUAUCACUGUAAGUAUAAAUUCUGAAACAUCCUAUGUACCCUACACGUUGUCUUAUCGCCCUUUCUAUUGUUAUAUUUCAUCAUUACAUGCUGCUUCCGUUUUUUCGAUUUGUACAGAAGAGGAGGUAUCAUGAGAAUAAAGUAGUUGUUGUGAUUAUUGUGGACGAGUGCAUGAGCUAAGCUAAUGUUACCAACGUUCAAUUGUUGUGAUUAUCAUGCUGGACUACCAAAUUAAACUGCAGCAUGUAAUACGACUACCGUUGCUGCUGCUACUUCUUUUCUCAAUACGGUCUGAGGUGUGCACAUGGAUAUUGCUAGCUAGUUUCUUAGUGAUGGUUUUUUAGUUUCUCAAGCUGGGCAACUCGUUAGAUGGAUCAUCUGGAAGAUAGUUGACUAGUUUUAAACAUAUAUGAAGGUUGCCUCUAGUUUUUGUUUGGUCUUCAAUAAUGCAUGUAUGUGGUAGAAUAUAUACACUAGUAUGCUCAACUUUUUUUGAUUUGUUUCAUGUUUUUGACAAUUCUUCAAAUUUUGGUUAAGGAGAUUUUACAAUCGGAUAGAUAUGUUUUUAAAAUUGUUGUUUAAUUUUAUUCUUUUUGAUCAAGACUGUUAUACUUUCUACUGAAAAAAAUAUAUUAAUUAUUUUUUUUAUUAAAUUUGAAAACUCAAUCAUUUUGAGUUGAGUCGAACAACACUUUAAUUUUUUAAAGAUAAAUAUCAAAACUAUAUAUUAACUCUGAUUCAAUGUGUAAUAUGUCAUACAUGAACAUUGAUUUCGUCAUUACUAAUAUUAUUGAAUCUGCAGUUUUACUCUCAUAUACUGCAGACACAAGCAAUUAUAUUAAUCCAAUAUGAAAAUAAAUGUAUGUACUCAUUUCUUUAAAUGUAUACCAUUGAAUUACAAUAAAAUUUUCAUAUAUACAUAUGAACUACAAAUCAAGUUUCAUGUAUAUAAUUGUAUAGAAUCAAAAUUUUAAUUUGAUAUUUAUUUUAUUUUUAAUUUUAAUUUCAAAAAAACUUCAUAAAAUAAAGACAAUAUAGUGAUUAUAAAGUCAAUAUCCCUAUUUUCCCUCCUUUUAUACGUACACAAGUGGAUGAAACAAUUUAAUGUUAUACAAGUGGAGGAGAGUUGUGAGGUAUCAAAGACGGCAUCGACUUUGGUCUUUGGUCAAUGCUUUAUGUGACCAUUGGAUUUCCAAUCUGGUGGCUAGUUUUUCGCUAUAAAAAGAAGCUUGGAUGCCACUGCCAGUUAGUGUAAAGGAAUGAACAACAUUAUUUGGCAUCAAUUUUUAAAAUCGAUGGCUUCAAGAUUUAAGCUUGUUUCUGCACUCUCUUUGUUGCUUCUUCUGUUAGGUAUUCUCAUAUUUUCUUUUCUCUUUUUUUUCAUAGUAUUUAUUUCUCAAUUGGUCAAUAUAUUAACGUCAUGUUCAAGAUUUUAAUUAUAUGUAAUAUUUGUGCUUAAUUCUUUUGUUGGUAUGACCUCUAUCUAAAAAUUUUAUUAGAUCCUGUCUCUCUUUUGCUUAAUUUUAGGAGCAAAAUUUGAUUAAGUGGAAAGAGUCAAAGAAUACAGACUGAACCAUUUUAGAGUCAAUGAACCUAAUUACACACAAGUAAACGAAACAAUAUAAUAUUGUGAGGUCAUUGGUCAAUCAUCAAUGUGCCUUAAAGAAGGAAGAUAGUUUGGCGGUAGCUAUUGGAUUUCAUACACAAUGGGCCGUCCAUGGCUUCAAGAUUCAAGCUUUUAGCCAUCUUUUCUUCUAUUCAUAUUUGCUUAGACCAUUCUAUUUUCCAGGCUUUUAAUCUCUGGUUUUGAGUAAACAAUCUCAGCUUUUCUGAGUACUCUGCUUGUGUUGUGUCCUUUCAUUCUUUUCCCUCUUUCUUAUAAUAACAGAUGGGAUAUAUGUAAAUUUUCAAAAUGUCUGAAUCGUUUCAUUUAUCAGAUAUCUCAAUAUAUAUAUAAUUAUUUUAUUAUGUAAAUUCGUAUUAAUAUUUGUAGAAUAUCUGAAUUUAAAUCAAAUAUCAAAAUUCAAUUUCGAUGGGCAGAUUUUUGUAGGGGAAGCAACGUUGGAGUUGACUAUGGAAUGGAUGCUGAUAACCUUCCAUCCCCUGAUCAAGUAGCACAAUUGGUUCGAAAUCACAACAUUCAGUACCUUAGGAUUUAUAAUUACAGACCCGAAGUGUUGAAGGCCUUUUCAAACACCGGUAUUGAACUUAUGGUGGGAGUUCCUAAUGCAGACUUAUCACAAUUCCAGUCCCAACCAUAUGUAGAUUCCUGGCUGAGGACUAGCAUCCUCCCGUACUACCCAGCCACAAAGAUCACCCACAUUACUGUAGGUGUUGAAGUGACUAAUUACCCAGAUAAUACCGCCAACUUGGUUGUGCCCGCCAUGAGAAAUGUCGUCUCAGCAUUGAAAUCGGCCAACCUGCAAGGUAAAAUCAAGGUUUCAACUCCACUCUCCUUUGGGGUUUUAUCCAAAUCCUUCCCACCUUCCGAAGGGGCAUUUAACAGUGGCUAUGAAAAUGUCUUGAGACUUUUGUUGGACUUCCUAGAAGAGAACCAAUCACCUUUUAUGGUCAAUUUAUAUCCUAUUUACGCUAUUGGAGCUUCUUCUUUGGAUGCUGUUCUGUUUAAGUCACCCUCUACGAUUUUCGUAGAUCAGCAUACCGGUCUUAGUUACAAGAACAUUUUUGAUGCUCAGCUAGACGCUGUUUUUUACGCCAUUGCCAAUCGGAAUUUCAGAACAACUAGGAACACAUUUGAUGCUCAGCCAGAUACUGUUCAUUUUACCUUGGCCAAUACGAAUUCGAGAAUAAACGACAUUAUUGUUACGGAAACCGGCUGGCCUACACAUGGUUCUAGGCCACCACAUGCUAGUACUCACAAUGCCAAGACUUAUAACUAUGGUGCUAGUCUUGACAGUGUCGACGACUACGC
RNAcentral lists this long non-coding RNA (20492 nucleotides) under Gossypium raimondii (Peruvian cotton). RNAcentral's name for it is "long non-coding RNA (GRAI_LNC006863)". Lineage: Eukaryota; Viridiplantae; Streptophyta; Magnoliopsida; Malvales; Malvaceae. The record is from RNAcentral.